Armigeres subalbatus is the source of this 683-nucleotide long non-coding RNA. RefSeq lists it as uncharacterized. The record is from RefSeq and is a predicted model, not a curated record. Lineage: Eukaryota; Metazoa; Arthropoda; Insecta; Diptera; Culicidae. The transcript is spliced from 3 exons.
AAAAAAAUAUAGGCAUUCUGAAAUGUUCGACUUGAUUUUAGUGUAAGUGUAAACAAUCGCGUGACACAAUUUGUAAAAAUUUCGAAAUUUUUAUAGUGAUUGCAAGGGAUAUUUUCCAUAUAUCAAGCAAUUUGAAGGUCUGGAGAAACUAUUUUCCGCAGUGGUGGAAUUCUACGCCUUUGCUCGCAAGGCCAAGACCCCUAAAUGCAUGAGGAAUUAACAAAUAAAAAAUCGUUCAAUGCAUGUUAAAAAGCUUGGCGAAUGUUGGUUCCAUCCCUACCCUUAUGGCACUGAGGUGGAAAUUGAAAGCUAAAAAAAGUGAAAAAAUAUUGUAAAAUUUAUAGACUCUAGAUAUUUGAAAAUAUAAAAAUAAACAUAAAACAUAAAUGAUUAAUAAAAUCUAUCAAAAUAAACAAAUAGAAAAUCUAUUUAAUUCAAAAAAAUAUGACUUUUGAAUCAAACAUCAAUCUCUUGUUGAAUCAAACAGAUCUCUUGUUGAAUCAACAAUACUAUUUUUAUCGAUCGAAGCUUUCAUAAGAGCUUUAUAAAGUUCGAGCUUACGGAGCUCUUUUGAAAACAACAAUAAUGGAUUGUUGAAACAACAAUAAUUCUUAUUACCGCCAAAACAAUGCGAAAUUCUUUUUGAAUUUAUGUCAAAUAUUAUUGUUUUUAAAAUAGUUUUU